UGUAGAUUCUGCUUUCGACCAGAUUUGUGUCGCUUCGUCUUCCGUUUACUCAGUAGGAACACAACUUGGUAGUGAUGGAGGUUGACGAGGGCAUGGUAGCCAUCGUGCAAAGCUCGAAGCACGCCGGGCUCACCGUCACACUGCUGCCGGUGAGGCACGCGACCUGCGGGAACCGUGUUCUGAAUGCCACGGGUAUGAAAACAACUCGCGGGAGUAAGUCCAAUGUUGAAACGACUACAGAAAGAAUAUCCAAAAACUCCAUCGCACCGGUGUGGGACAUCAGACAUGAUAGUGGAUAUCAGUUUGCAAACUGCCUCCGAGUGCCAUCACAUCGGCAAAG
This is a long non-coding RNA of Pararge aegeria (speckled wood butterfly), 340 nucleotides long. RefSeq lists it as uncharacterized. The transcript has 4 exons. The record is from RefSeq and is a predicted model, not a curated record. NCBI's taxonomy places the organism in Eukaryota, Metazoa, Arthropoda, Insecta, Lepidoptera, Nymphalidae.